GGGGCUAUAGUUCAGAGGUAGAACACUCGAUCGGCAGUCGAGAGAUUCCGGUUCGAUUCCGGAUAGCUCCA
This 71-nucleotide transfer RNA is filed under the name Yasminevirus sp. GU-2018. It matches the Rfam family "tRNA". Rfam says of the family: Transfer RNA (tRNA) molecules are approximately 80 nucleotides in length. Their secondary structure includes four short double-helical elements and three loops (D, anti-codon, and T loops). The record is from Rfam by way of RNAcentral. Lineage: Varidnaviria; Bamfordvirae; Nucleocytoviricota; Megaviricetes; Imitervirales; Mimiviridae.